GAUGAACGCUAGCGGCAGGCUUAAUACAUGCAAGUCGAGGGGCAGCGCGGGUAGCAAUACCUGGCGGCGACCGGCAAACGGGUGCGGAACACGUACGCAACCUUCCCAAAACUGGUGAAUAGCCCUCCGAAAGGAGGAUUAAUACACCGUACCAUAACGAAGAGGCAUCUCUUUGUUAUUAUAGUAGCAAUACGGUUUUGGAUGGGCGUGCGCCUGAUUAGGUAGUUGGCGGGGUAACGGCCCACCAAGCCUGCGAUCAGUAACUGGUGUGAGAGCACGACCAGUCACACGGGCACUGAGACACGGGCCCGACUCCUACGGGAGGCAGCAGUAAGGAAUAUUGGUCAAUGGACGCAAGUCUGAACCAGCCAUGCCGCGUGAAGGAUGAAGGCCCUCUGGGUUGUAAACUUCUUUUAUCUGGGACGAAAAAGCUCUUUCUAGAGCACUUGACGGUACCAGAGGAAUAAGCACCGGCUAACUCCGUGCCAGCAGCCGCGGUAAAACGU
This 506-nucleotide ribosomal RNA is filed under the name uncultured bacterium. Its description in RNAcentral is "bacterial SSU rRNA". It matches the Rfam family "Bacterial small subunit ribosomal RNA", at positions 28 to 528 of the family's 1533-position model. The record is from RNAcentral.